CCUCAAAGCAGGGAUGAGCCCUAAGGGGGUGCAGGUGGAAUGAGAGUCUGCACAGGAGCCUCUUAUCUGUGCCCAUGACAAGAUGGCAUUGGUGGCAGACAUAAUUGACUCCACUCUACAGAAGAAACAGACUUGAGGAUGUUACGUGACUUAUCCAAAGUCAUGAAGUGGGUAUGUGGCAGCUCCAGGUCCCAAAACCAGGCCUUCUUACUGCUUGGAGCCAGUCUUACCACCACUGCCCCAACUAGCUGAGGGGCUUUGGAGAUAGAUACUUGGGGAUGUCUAUAGCCGUGCCUGCCCAAGCCAAAACUUCUAAGGAAAUCAUCACGGACACGCAUCCAGGGUUCCACCUAACCUUAUGGGAACAUAAAGUCAGAGCUAUGAUGGAUAUAACUAGAAGACUCCAUUAUGCAAUCAAGAUCUCUCCUGGAAUACUAUAGUUGAAAAUGAUGCUCCGUUGACUAGAUGUGACAAGCCAUUUUAAAGAACAAAGUUUGGGGGCACCUGGCUGGCUCAGUUAGUAGUGUUCGACUCUUGAUCUCGGGGUUGUGAG
Suricata suricatta (meerkat) is the source of this 553-nucleotide long non-coding RNA. RefSeq lists it as uncharacterized. Lineage: Eukaryota; Metazoa; Chordata; Mammalia; Carnivora; Herpestidae. The record is from RefSeq and is a predicted model, not a curated record. The transcript is spliced from 3 exons.